RNAcentral lists this microRNA precursor (176 nucleotides) under Sorghum bicolor (sorghum). RNAcentral's name for it is "MIR6217 microRNA precursor family". It matches the Rfam family "MIR6217 microRNA precursor family". Lineage: Eukaryota; Viridiplantae; Streptophyta; Magnoliopsida; Poales; Poaceae. The record is from Rfam by way of RNAcentral.
UAGCCAGUUACGAUAAUUACUAUAUUAAUUUACAAGAUUAUAGUAACUCCUUACUAAGUGGUUUACUAUAACAUUACGGUAAAUAUCCCCAUAUGUUAUAGUAACACAAUUAUCGUAAAUAUGUAUACAUAUUAUCGUAAAUUAGUAUAUAAAAUUAUCGUAAAUGGUGGUGGCUA